AUUGAACGCUAGCGGGAUGCUUUACACAUGCAAGUCGAACGGCAGCGCGGACUUCGGUCUGGCGGCGAGUGGCGAACGGGUGAGUAAUGUAUCGGAACGUGCCCAGUAGCGGGGGAUAACUACGCGAAAGCGUAGCUAAUACCGCAUACGCCCUACGGGGGAAAGCAGGGGAUCGUAAGACCUUGCACUAUUUGAGCGGCCGAUAUCGGAUUAGCUAGUUGGUGAGGUAACGGCUCACCAAGGCGACGAUCCGUAGCUGGGUUGAGAGGACGACCAGCCACACUGGGACUGAGACACGGCCCAGACUCCUACGGGAGGCAGCAGUGGGGAAUUUUGGACAAUGGGGGCAACCCUGAUCCAGCCAUCCCGCGUGUGCGAUGAAGGCCUUCGGGUUGUAAAGCACUUUUGGCAGGAAAGAAACGUCGCGGGCUAAUACCCCGUGGAACUGACGGUACCUGCAGAAUAAGCACCGGCUAACUACGUG
This 484-nucleotide ribosomal RNA is filed under the name uncultured bacterium. RNAcentral's name for it is "partial 16S ribosomal RNA". It matches the Rfam family "Bacterial small subunit ribosomal RNA", at positions 30 to 507 of the family's 1533-position model. The record is from RNAcentral.